This 72-nucleotide transfer RNA is filed under the name Marmota marmota marmota (Alpine marmot). It matches the Rfam family "tRNA". From Rfam's summary of the family: Transfer RNA (tRNA) molecules are approximately 80 nucleotides in length. Their secondary structure includes four short double-helical elements and three loops (D, anti-codon, and T loops). Lineage: Eukaryota; Metazoa; Chordata; Mammalia; Rodentia; Sciuridae. The record is from Rfam by way of RNAcentral. RNAcentral also lists the same sequence under 1 other name.
UGGGAUAUAACUCAGUUGGUAGAGUGCUUGCCUUGCAUGACAAGGCCCUGGGUUCAAUUCCCAGCACCAUAC